GGCGGACGGGUGAGUAACGCGUAGGAAUCUGCCUCAUAGUGGGGGACAACGUGGGGAAACUCACGCUAAUACCGCAUACGCCCUACGGGGGAAAGCGGGGGAUCUUCGGACCUCGCGCUAUGAGAUGAGCCUGCGUUAGAUUAGCUAGUUGGUGGGGUAAAGGCCUACCAAGGCGACGAUCUAUAGCUGGUCUGAGAGGACGAUCAGCCACACUGGGACUGAGACACGGCCCAGACUCCUACGGGAGGCAGCAGUGGGGAAUAUUGGACAAUGGGCGAAAGCCUGAUCCAGCAAUACCGCGUGUGUGAAGAAGGCCUUAGGGUUGUAAAGCACUUUCAAUUGGGAGGAAAACCUACCGGUCAAUACCCGGUAGCUUGACAUUACCUUUAGAAGAAGCACCGGCUAACUCCGUGCCAGCAGCCGCGGUAAUACGGAGGGUGCGAGCGUUAAUCGGAAUUACUGGGCGUAAAGCGUGCGUAGGCGGUUCGUUAAGUCAGAUGUGAAAGCCCUGGGCUCAACCUGGGAACGGCAUUUGAAACUGGCGGACUAGAGUUUAGUAGAGGGGAGUGGAAUUUCAGGUGUAGCGGUGAAAUGCGUAGAUAUCUGAAGGAACACCAGUGGCGAAGGCGACUCCCUGGACUAGAACUGACGCUGAGGUACGAAAGCGUGGGUAGCAAACAGGAUUAGAUACCCUGGUAGUCCACGCCGUAAACGAUGUCAACUAGCCGUUGGUCCUAUUUACAGGAUUAGUGGCGCAGCUAACGCAUUAAGUUGACCGCCUGGGGAGUACGGCCGCAAGGUUAAAACUCAAAUGAAUUGACGGGGGCCCGCACAAGCGGUGGAGCAUGUGGUUUAAUUCGAUGCAACGCGAAGAACCUUACCUAC
This 885-nucleotide ribosomal RNA is filed under the name uncultured Methylobacter sp. RNAcentral's name for it is "bacterial SSU rRNA". It matches the Rfam family "Bacterial small subunit ribosomal RNA", at positions 97 to 978 of the family's 1533-position model. The record is from RNAcentral. Lineage: Bacteria; Pseudomonadati; Pseudomonadota; Gammaproteobacteria; Methylococcales; Methylococcaceae.